AGAAACUUAGGUUCAACCCAAACCGGAGGCCUUCAAAGCCUCAAAUAAGAGUGCAACCCUCUUAGUUUCUG
This 71-nucleotide transfer RNA is filed under the name Remiz consobrinus (Chinese penduline-tit). RNAcentral's name for it is "tRNA-Trp". It matches the Rfam family "tRNA". From Rfam's summary of the family: Transfer RNA (tRNA) molecules are approximately 80 nucleotides in length. The record is from RNAcentral. Lineage: Eukaryota; Metazoa; Chordata; Aves; Passeriformes; Paridae.